UCCUACGGGAGGCAGCAGUGGGGAAUAUUGCACAAUGGGCGCAAGCCUGAUGCAGCCAUGCCGCGUGUAUGAAAAAGGCCUUCGGGUUGUAAAGUACUUUCAGCGAGGAGGAAAGGUUAACGGUUAAUACCCGUUAGCUGUGACGUUACUCGCAGAAGAAGCACCGGCUAACUCCGUGCCAGCAGCCGCGGUAAUACGGAGGGUGCGAGCGUUAAUCGGAAUUACUGGGCGUAAAGCGCAUGCAGGCGGUCUGUUAAGCGAGAUGUGAAAGCCCCGGGCUUAACCUGGGAACUGCAUUUCGAACUGGCAGACUAGAGUCUUGUAGAGGGAGGUAGAAUUUCAGGUGUAGCGGUGAAAUGCGUAGAGAUCUGAAGGAAUACCAGUGGCGAAGGCGGCCUCCUGGACAAAGACUGACGCUCAGAUGCGAAAGCGUGGGGAGCAAACAGGAUUAGAUACUCUGGUAGUCCACGCUGUAAACGAUGUCUAUUAGGAGUCUGUGCCCUUGAGGCGUGGGUUCCAAAGCUAACGCAUUAAAUAGACCGCCUGGGGAGUACGGCCGCAAGGUUAAAACUCAAAUGAAUUGACGGGGGCCCGCACAAGCGGUGGAGCAUGUGGUUUAAUUCGACGCAACGCGAAGAACCUUACCUGGGUUUGACAUCCCGGGAAUUCUGCGGAAACACAGAAGUGCCCUUCGGGGAGCCCGGUGACAGGUGCUGCAUGGCUGUCGUCAGCUCGUGUCGUGAGAUGUUGGGUUAAGUCCCGCAACGAGCGCAACCCCUAUCUUUAGUUACAGCAUUCAGUGGGGACUCUAAGAACUGCCCCCGUUAACCGCGGAAGAAGAGUGGGGAAUAAGUCGAUCCCAGGCUUUGUCAGGGCACUCUGUCUAAUGCCAUCUGAUG
Molecule: ribosomal RNA, 899 nt
Filed under: uncultured bacterium
Lineage: Bacteria
Description: bacterial SSU rRNA
Rfam family: Bacterial small subunit ribosomal RNA
Source: RNAcentral